UGUGGGAGCGAGCCUGCUCGCGAUGGCGUCGGGUCAGUCGGUAUGGAUUUGACUGAUCUGGCGCUAUCGCGAGCAGGCUCGCUCCCACA
RNAcentral lists this unclassified non-coding RNA (89 nucleotides) under Pseudomonas corrugata. The record is from RNAcentral. Lineage: Bacteria; Pseudomonadati; Pseudomonadota; Gammaproteobacteria; Pseudomonadales; Pseudomonadaceae.